CCAAGUGCUGUCAACUGACCGAGAAAAUGAAUACAAAAAAAAACAACUUUUCGUUUUUCAUGUUCCCCAUGCACGUCCAAAUCCCGCAUACCAGCAGCAACAAGUUUUCACCGAUUGUGGUCCGACGGACGGAUAUAUUAUCAGGACAAACCGGGAGAAGAGCACCAGCGAUGUUCGUAACAGAAAAAGGAGCUAGAGGAUCAAGGUCUCGCUGGAAGGUGCAAUGUCCCGAACUCUUUUGGAUACAGCAGUGAUCAGCGGCUAAGCCAGCGUCCCGCCCGUUUUUCCGGAAUUAUACUUUCUUGUGGAGGAAAUUUGUUUUUAUACAUCGUAGAAUUGAAACGAAUAAACAAUUCGGUAUCAAAUUUUGAAUACGGCGAAUGCGCCAAGACCUUUGUUUUGAGAAAAACGCAUUCCAAGUUUCAGAAAAUAAAAUCAAUUUCCUAUUUA
Long non-coding RNA from Uranotaenia lowii, 450 nucleotides. RefSeq lists it as uncharacterized. NCBI's taxonomy places the organism in Eukaryota, Metazoa, Arthropoda, Insecta, Diptera, Culicidae. The record is from RefSeq and is a predicted model, not a curated record. The transcript has 2 exons.